UUAACUGUGAAAUGUUUAAUAAGUUUGUUGAUUGUCAGAGAUUGUAUAAAAAAAUUUGUAGAGAAAAAAAGCAUUUUCAUUUUUGGAAAUUACAGCAAAAGUUGUCUAGUUUUAGAGAUUCCAAGUCUUUUUGGUCUAUUCUUUGUAGAUUUAAGCCAUCUGGAUCUCAUUCUUCACAUAUUGAGAUUUCAGAAUGGUUUUCAAUUUUUUUCUUAUAAAUUUGCAAGGCCUUCUCAGGAUAUAGCCAUUGAUGGGAUGGGAUUAGAUAUUGUUAAUAGAGCGACUGACAAUUGGGAUUUAGUAUCCCCUUUUAUUAUGGAGAUGAUGAUAUUGGCAGUUUCUAGAUUAAAAGUAGGUAAAGCUCCCAGAGCUGAUUGUAUUUGUGCUGAAUUUAUAAAAAAUUUGGAGGGUCAUCUAUUUUGA
RNAcentral lists this long non-coding RNA (423 nucleotides) under Androctonus crassicauda. The record is from RNAcentral. Lineage: Eukaryota; Metazoa; Arthropoda; Arachnida; Scorpiones; Buthidae.